Conger conger (European conger) is the source of this 369-nucleotide long non-coding RNA. RefSeq lists it as uncharacterized. The transcript has 3 exons. Lineage: Eukaryota; Metazoa; Chordata; Actinopteri; Anguilliformes; Congridae. The record is from RefSeq and is a predicted model, not a curated record.
GGAGACUCCGGAGAUGAUGUCCGAGAAACACCGUCGACUAAUUUAAGUACCUUAUUAAUUCAAUUAUUAUUAUUUUUUUGUUUGUUUUAUUUCUCUCUUCACGACGAGAAAUAAUGUUUUUCACAACUUUUUUUGGAACGGCAAACGGUGCUCACCGUCUCUUGGUCACCUAAGAAAGGUUCGUCACAGUGGUGGCGUGCCGGGAGUGGAGCGUAACCUCCACCACAGGACAGCUCGCGAACUUCACCGCCGGGAAGUCUUCUGGACGGUAAAUAUCUGUUAAAAACAGACUGGGAUGUCCAUGCGCAGAGGCCUGCAGCAUUGUGGGUAACAUGGACUUUGUCUGGAGGACAUUCCCUUGCUUGUGGC